This 362-nucleotide transfer-messenger RNA is filed under the name Phenylobacterium parvum. RNAcentral describes it as "Alphaproteobacteria transfer-messenger RNA". It matches the Rfam family "Alphaproteobacteria transfer-messenger RNA". Rfam says of the family: Bacterial tmRNA, also known as 10Sa RNA or SsrA, is named for its dual tRNA and mRNA-like properties. Its role is to liberate the mRNA from a stalled ribosome. The record is from Rfam by way of RNAcentral. Lineage: Bacteria; Pseudomonadati; Pseudomonadota; Alphaproteobacteria; Caulobacterales; Caulobacteraceae.
GGGAUUGAGAAGUCCGGCGUGAAAGCCUAUCUCUCGGGUGUCCGGUUCGCCGGACUAUGGGGAUAAACGCGCACGAAAUAAGCGGACUGGACCCGGGUGCGAUUCCCGGCGGCUCCACCAAAACCUUUCCCCCGCUCCGGCGGGGCGGUGCGGGGCCGAUCAGCAUCGACAGACGUGUAAAGGUGUUGCUUUCUCCCGGCCUGGCCCACCGUUUCGGGCUUUAAACUAACUGCGAACGAUAACUUCGCUGAAGAAGUUCGUCUGGCCGCGUAAGCGACCCGACGGGUUUCGACCUGAAGCCCUGGCGUCUUAGCAGCGUCAGGCGGGGCUCGGAGGGGGCCUGGCAACAGAACCCCUCCACU